This 434-nucleotide ribosomal RNA is filed under the name Salmonella enterica. RNAcentral's name for it is "partial 23S ribosomal RNA". It matches the Rfam family "Bacterial large subunit ribosomal RNA", at positions 137 to 609 of the family's 2925-position model. The record is from RNAcentral. Lineage: Bacteria; Pseudomonadati; Pseudomonadota; Gammaproteobacteria; Enterobacterales; Enterobacteriaceae. RNAcentral also lists the same sequence under 1 other name.
GAUUCGUCACACUAUCAUUAACUGAAUCCAUAGGUUAAUGAGGCGAACCGGGGGAACUGAAACAUCUAAGUACCCCGAGGAAAAGAAAUCAACCGAGAUUCCCCCAGUAGCGGCGAGCGAACGGGGAGGAGCCCAGAGCCUGAAUCAGCAUGUGUGUUAGUGGAAGCGUCUGGAAAGGCGCGCGAUACAGGGUGACAGCCCCGUACACAAAAGCGCAUGUGCUGUGAGCUCGAUGAGUAGGGCGGGACACGUGGUAUCCUGUCUGAAUAUGGGGGGACCAUCCUCCAAGGCUAAAUACUCCUGACUGACCGAUAGUGAACCAGUACCGUGAGGGAAAGGCGAAAAGAACCCCGGCGAGGGGAGUGAAAAAGAACCUGAAACCGUGUACGUACAAGCAGUGGGAGCACCCUUCGGGGUGUGACUGCGUACCUUUU